This 61-nucleotide transfer RNA is filed under the name Tetrameres grusi. RNAcentral's name for it is "tRNA-Ala". Lineage: Eukaryota; Metazoa; Nematoda; Chromadorea; Rhabditida; Tetrameridae. The record is from RNAcentral.
GUAUGUCUAUUAUAAGUUUUUUUAAUAUAUUUGUUUUGCAUUCAAAAGAUUAUGAUGUACU